RNAcentral lists this ribosomal RNA (454 nucleotides) under uncultured bacterium. Its description in RNAcentral is "bacterial SSU rRNA". It matches the Rfam family "Bacterial small subunit ribosomal RNA", at positions 340 to 786 of the family's 1533-position model. The record is from RNAcentral.
UACGGGAGGCAGCAGUGGGGAAUAUUGCACAAUGGGCGAAAGCCUGAUGCAGCUAUGCCGCGUGUAUGAAGAAGGCCUUAGGGUUGUAAAGUACUUUCAUCGGGGAGGAAAAACAAAACUAAUAAUUUUAUUUCUUGACGUUACCCGAAAAAGAAGCACCGGCUAACUCCGUGCCAGCAGCCGCGGUAAUACGGAGGGUGCUAGCGUUAAUCAGAAUUACUGGGCAUAAAGAGCACGUAGGUGGUUUUUUAAGUCAGAUGUGAAAUCCCUGGGCUUAACCUAGGAACUGCAUUUUGAAACUGAAAUACUAGAGUAUCGUAGAGGGAGGUAGAAUUCUAGGUGUAGCGGUGAAAUGCGUAGAUAUCUGGAGGAAUACCUGUGGCGAAAGCGGCCUCCUAAACGAAUACUGACACUGAGGUGCGAAAGCGUGGGGAGCAAACAGGGAUUAGAUACC